RNAcentral lists this long non-coding RNA (1399 nucleotides) under Homo sapiens (human). RNAcentral describes it as "HSALNT0341279". Lineage: Eukaryota; Metazoa; Chordata; Mammalia; Primates; Hominidae. The record is from RNAcentral.
CAGAAUGCAAAAUCUUCAAGAAUUUUUGUUGUUGUUGUUGUUGUUUUUGAGUCAAGGUCUUGCUCUGUGGCCCAGGCUGGAGUACACUGGUGAGAUCACAGCUCAGUGCAGGCUCAAGUGCUCCUCCCGCCUCAGCCACAGUACUAGCUGGGACUACAGAUGCGCACAGCCACCCCUGGCUAAUAUUUUAUCUUUUGUAGAGACGGGGUCUCACUGUAUUGUCCAGGUUGGUCUCAAACUCUUUGACUCAAGGGAUCCAGGACAGGAUAACAGGUGUGAGCCACCACACCUGGCCAUGUGCAUGAACUUUUAAGACAAACACAAGGCCCCACAAAAGGUAAGGUUUUCCCACCUAAUUUCCAGGGGAUCUUUUGGUGCAAGGAUGAGAAGCCCUUAAAAGUACACAGACAACUCCAAAGAUUCAAGACAGUUCAUUCGGGCUGAGCCAGCCCACUGGGCAGACAGACCUUCAAGAAAGGCCCACGCAUGACAUACACCAGAUGGCUCUCCAAGAAUCGCUUCAGUCCUCAGGGUCCCUAAGGUACUGGACAGAGCUAGGAAAGCAAACCCAUUUGCUUCUUCCUGCACGAAACCCCUUGAGGUCAAGACCCCACAAUCAGACGAGGAUGGAGUGGCUCACCCUCAGUCAACAGGCCAGACUCAAGGUGGUAUAAUGACUUAACCAAGGGUGUGGGACUCCAGGUCUGACUCCCAACUCAGUUCUCCUUUAAUAACCACACUUUGGUAAUUCUCCUUAACAGGGGUUCCUGGCAAGUCAGUUCUCCCUCGGGCCUUUGGUUUCCUCACCUACAAGAUGAGAGGGCCGGACCAGAUGGAAAUUCGGGGUUACUCAUCCUUCAAAACUCAGUUCAGAGAUCAGCUCCUCCAAGAAGGCUUCUGUGGUUGUGGUUGGUGCUCUUUCCUACCAGUACCAGCUGUCCUGAGAGCACGUCUCUACAUCUCUACCUGCAUUCUGGAAACCGGGAGAAAGCCAAAACGGAUGACAAGACACUAGAUCAGCCGUGUCCAACCCUGUGACUACAAGGACUUUUCCGCCUAUCUUUGGUGGUGGGUAUCAUCAAAAUUCUGCACAAACCUUUUUUUUUUUUUUUUUUUUUAAGCUCAUUAGCUGUUGUUAGCAUUAGUGUAUUUUAUGUGUGGCCCAGGAGCAUUCUUCUUCCAAUGUGGGCCUGAGAAGCCAAAAGACUGGACACCUGUGCACUAAAUCAAAAGGCUAUUCCUUCUGGAAGCAAUUGUAAAGAAUUUCUCACAUUAUCUUGACAUGAAAACCAAUGGAUAGUGGGACAGAAUGCAAAAUCUUCAAGAAUUUUUGUUGUUGUUGUUGUUGUUUUUGAGUCAAGGUCUUGCUCUGUGGCCCAGGCUGGAGUACACUGGUGAG